RNAcentral lists this ribosomal RNA (497 nucleotides) under uncultured bacterium. RNAcentral's name for it is "partial 16S ribosomal RNA". It matches the Rfam family "Bacterial small subunit ribosomal RNA", at positions 27 to 507 of the family's 1533-position model. The record is from RNAcentral.
GGUGGGGGGGGGGGGGGGGGGGGGGGCGGGGGAGUGGGGGGGGCGGGCGGGGGGCUGGCUCCUCUGGCGUUAGCGGCGGGCGGGUGAGUAACACGUGGAUGACCUGCCUAUAAGACUGGGAUAACUUCGGGAAACCGGAGCUCAUACCGGAUACUAUAUUGAACCGCAUGGUGCAAUAGUGAAAGCCGGUUUGGCUGUCCCUUUUAGAUGGUCCCACGCCGCAUUAGCUAGUUGGUAAGGUAACGGCUUACCAAGGCAACGAUGCGUAGCCGACCUGAGAGGGUGAUCGGCCACACUGGAACUGAGACACGGUCCAGACUCCUACGGGAGGCAGCAGUAGGGAAUCUUCCGCAAUGGGCGAAAGCUUGACGGAGCAACGCCGCGUGAGUGAUGAAGGUCUUCGGAUCGUAAAACUCUGUUAUUAGGGAAGAACAAAUGUGUAAGUAACUAUGCACGUCUUGACGGUACCUAAUCAGAAAGCCACGGCUAACUACGUG